RNA transcript from Dinoponera quadriceps, 998 nucleotides. It is a transcript of the gene named fatty acid synthase-like, with no coding region annotated. The record is from RefSeq and is a predicted model, not a curated record. NCBI's taxonomy places the organism in Eukaryota, Metazoa, Arthropoda, Insecta, Hymenoptera, Formicidae. The transcript is spliced from 2 exons.
UCUUACGUCCCGGAAGAAUUUGGGGCUCUUAUCGACUCUUUGCGUUAUCACUACCAGAACCGAAGCCUGUGCAAUGCGGUUACGUCGUUCAAGGGGUACGUUUUCAUUCGAAACAAAAAAUGUGUAUACAUAUUUACCUAAUUCCUUGUCAAGUAUUCAUUGUCAGUUUUUGAAAAUACUUCUUUUUAUAUUGAAUUAUAUGGCAUGCAAAUUUUCAUAUCAAUAAGAAUGAGUUGAAAUUAAUUUCCACGAUAUUCUAAGCGAUCAGAGUACGAUUCAAAUAUUAUUCAUUUUUCCUCCGUAUUUAUCGAUAAUGCGUAAAAAUUAAUUUCUAUCAGAUUCAAGGUGAUUUGAGUACAUUUCGUUGGGUCGAGGACGUACAUCUCCUGAAAUCAAGCCUGAAAAUCUUAUACGUAUAGUUUAUGCAGCACUGAAUUUCAAAGAUGUGAUGAUAGCUACUGGGAAAGUUGCUCUGAAUUCCUCUGCAUCGAUUGAACGAAAUGUUGAUUCAUUAAUAGGUCUCGAAUUUGUCGGUUUUGAUGAGAAAGGACGGCGAAUAAUGGGAAUAUGCCCAAACAGUCUUUCUUCAGGGAUCGAAGAAAAAAGUUAACAUGAUUUAUACCAUUUAAUUUUUCAGAGGAUUAUCAAAUAUAGUAAUUCACGACAAUAUCGUAUCCUGGGUUAUACCUGAUGAAUGGACAUUCGAGGAUGCUGCCACAGUUCCUUGCGUUUAUGCCACAAUCUAUUACGCGCUAUAUAUGCGUGGAAAAUUAAAAAAGGAGACAAAGUUCUUAUUCAUUUGGGCAGCGGUGGCGUUGGACAAGCCGCAAUUAAUUUAGCGCUUCAUGAAGGAUGCGAAAUAUUUACGACAGUCGGAACUUCCGAGAAACGACAAUUCAUUAAAGAAACAUUCUCCUGUAUUCCCAAUAAUCAUAUUGGCAAUUCUCACGACACAAGUUUCAAACAAAUGAUCGUUCAGCAGACACAAGGACAGGGUG